GGGGGGGGGCCAAUAAUGCAGUCGAACGAGUUCUCGUUGAUGAUCGGUGCUUGCACCGAGAUUCAACAUGGAACGAGUGGCGGACGGGUGAGUAACACGUGGGUAACCUGCCCUUAAGUGGGGGAUAACAUUUGGAAACAGAUGCUAAUACCGCAUAGAUCCAAGAACCGCAUGGUUCUUGGCUGAAAGAUGGCGUAAGCUAUCGCUUUUGGAUGGACCCGCGGCGUAUUAGCUAGUUGGUGAGGUAAUGGCUCACCAAGGCGAUGAUACGUAGCCGAACUGAGAGGUUGAUCGGCCACAUUGGGACUGAGACACGGCCCAAACUCCUACGGGAGGCAGCAGUAGGGAAUCUUCCACAAUGGACGCAAGUCUGAUGGAGCAACGCCGCGUGAGUGAAGAAGGCUUUCGGGUCGUAAAACUCUGUUGUUGGAGAAGAAUGGUCGGCAGAGUAACUGUUGUCGGCGUGACGGUAUCCAACCAGAAAGCCACGGCUAACUACGUGCCAGCAGCCGCGGUAAUACGUAGGUGGCAAGCGUUAUCCGGAUUUAUUGGGCGUAAAGCGAGCGCAGGCGGUUUUUUAAGUCUGAUGUGAAAGCCCUCGGCUUAACCGAGGAAGCGCAUCGGAAACUGGGAAACUUGAGUGCAGAAGAGGACAGUGGAACUCCAUGUGUAGCGGUGAAAUGCGUAGAUAUAUGGAAGAACACCAGUGGCGAAGGCGGCUGUCUGGUCUGUAACUGACGCUGAGGCUCGAAAGCAUGGGUAGCGAACAGGAUUAGAUACCCUGGUAGUCCAUGCCGUAAACGAUGAAUGCUAGGUGUUGGAGGGUUUCCGCCCUUCAGUGCCGCAGCUAACGCAUUAAGCAUUCCGCCUGGGGAGUACGACCGCAAGGUUGAAACUCAAAGGAAUUGACGGGGGCCCGCACAAGCGGUGGAGCAUGUGGUUUAAUUCGAAGCAACGCGAAGAACCUUACCAGGUCUUGACAUCUUUUGAUCACCUGAGAGAUCAGGUUUCCCCUUCGGGGGCAAAAUGACAGGUGGUGCAUGGUUGUCGUCAGCUCGUGUCGUGAGAUGUUGGGGUUAAGUCCCGCAACGAGCGCAACCCUUAUGACUAGUUGCCAGCAUUUAGUUGGGCACUCUAGUAAGACUGCCGGUGACAAACCGGAGGAAGGUGGGGAUGACGUCAAAUCAUCAUGCCCCUUAUGACCUGGGCUACACACGUGCUACAAUGGAUGGUACAACGAGUUGCGAGACCGCGAGGUCAAGCUAAUCUCUUAAAGCCAUUCUCAGUUCGGACUGUAGGCUGCAACUCGCCUACACGAAGUCGGAAUCGCUAGUAAUCGCGGAUCAGCACGCCGCGGUGAAUACGUUCCCGGGCCUUGUACACACCGCCCGUCACACCAUGAGAGUUUGUAACACCCGAAGCCGGUGGCGUAACCCUUUUAGGGAGCGAGCCGUCUAAGUGGAC
This 1464-nucleotide ribosomal RNA is filed under the name Lacticaseibacillus casei. RNAcentral describes it as "bacterial SSU rRNA". It matches the Rfam family "Bacterial small subunit ribosomal RNA". RNAcentral also lists the same sequence under 1 other name. Lineage: Bacteria; Bacillati; Bacillota; Bacilli; Lactobacillales; Lactobacillaceae. The record is from RNAcentral.